GACGAACGCUGGCGGCGUGCUUAACACAUGCAAGUCGAACGGAAAGGCCCUGCUUUUGUGGGGUGCUCGAUUGGCGAACGGGUGAGUAACACGUGAGUAACCUGCCCUUGACUUUGGGAUAACUUCAGGAAACUGGGGCUAAUACCGGAUAGGAGCUCCUGCUGCAUGGUGGGGGUUGGAAAGUUUCGGCGGUUGGGGAUGGACUCGCGGCUUAUCAGCUUGUUGGUGGGGUAGUGGCUUACCAAGGCUUUGACGGGUAGCCGGCCUGAGAGGGUGACCGACCACAUUGGGACUGAGAUACGGACCAGACUCCUACGGGAGGCAGCAGUGGGGAAUAUUGCACAAUGGGCGGAAGCCUGAUGCAGCAACGCCGCGUGCGGGAUGACGGCCUUCGGGUUGUAAACCGCUUUCGCCUGUGACGAAGCGUGAGUGACGGUAAUGGGUAAAGAAGCACCGGCUAACUACGUG
This 468-nucleotide ribosomal RNA is filed under the name uncultured bacterium. Its description in RNAcentral is "partial 16S ribosomal RNA". It matches the Rfam family "Bacterial small subunit ribosomal RNA", at positions 28 to 507 of the family's 1533-position model. The record is from RNAcentral.